RNAcentral lists this ribosomal RNA (639 nucleotides) under uncultured bacterium. RNAcentral describes it as "bacterial SSU rRNA". The stretch from base 1 to 545 matches the Rfam family "Bacterial small subunit ribosomal RNA", at positions 338 to 873 of the family's 1533-position model. The record is from RNAcentral.
CCUACGGGAGGCAGCAGUGGGGAAUUUUGGACAAUGGGGGCAACCCUGAUCCAGCCAUGCCGCGUGAGUGAAGAAGGCCUUCGGGUUGUAAAGCUCUUUCGGCCGGAACGAAAUCGCGCACGUGAAUAACGUGCGUGGAUGACGGUACCGGAGUAAGAAGCACCGGCUAACUACGUGCCAGCAGCCGCGGUAAUACGUAGGGUGCGAGCGUUAAUCGGAAUUACUGGGCGUAAAGCGUGCGCAGGCGGUUCGCUAAGUCAGACGUGAAAGCCCCGGGCUUAACCUGGGAACGGCGUUUGAAACUGGCGGGCUCGAGUACGGCAGAGGGGGGUGGAAUUCCACGUGUAGCAGUGAAAUGCGUAGAUAUGUGGAGGAACACCGAUGGCGAAGGCAGCCCCCUGGGCCGAUACUGACGCUCAUGCACGAAAGCGUGGGGAGCAAACAGGAUUAGAUACCCUGGUAGUCCACGCCCUAAACUAUGUCAACUAGUUGUACGGGGAAGCAAUUCCUUAGGUAACGCAGCUAACGCGUGAAGUUCGACCGCCGUGGGGAGGUACGGUCGCGAGAAGUUAAAACGUUAAAGGUAAAGUUAGUACGGUUCGUUGUAGAGUUGCCGACGGACGACGACGAGGGAGGAGG